This 440-nucleotide ribosomal RNA is filed under the name uncultured bacterium. Its description in RNAcentral is "partial 16S ribosomal RNA". It matches the Rfam family "Bacterial small subunit ribosomal RNA", at positions 338 to 795 of the family's 1533-position model. The record is from RNAcentral.
CCUACGGGUGGCAGCAGUAGGGAAUAUUGCUCAAUGGGGGCAACCCUGAAGCAGCAACGCCGCGUGGAGGAAGAAGGUUUUCGGAUUGUAAACUCCUUUUGUCAGGGAGGAUAAUGACGGUGUCUAACGAAUAAGCACCGGCUAACUCCGUGCCAGCAGCCGCGGUAAUACGGAGGGUGCAAGCGUUACUCGGCAUCACUGGGCGUAAGGAGCGCGUAGGCGGGAUAGCAUGUCAGAUGUGAAAUCCUAUGGCUUAACCAUAGAACUGCAUUUGAAACUGUUAGUCUAGAGUAUGGGAGAGGUAGGUGGAAUUCUUGGUGUAGGGGUAAAAUCCGUAGAGAUCAAGAGGAAUACUCAUGGCGAAGGCGACCUGCUAGAACAUAACUGACGCUGAGGCGCGAAAGCGUGGGGAGCAAACAGGAUUAGAUACCCGGGUAGUC